Long non-coding RNA from Leptidea sinapis, 384 nucleotides. RefSeq lists it as uncharacterized. NCBI's taxonomy places the organism in Eukaryota, Metazoa, Arthropoda, Insecta, Lepidoptera, Pieridae. The transcript is spliced from 2 exons. The record is from RefSeq and is a predicted model, not a curated record.
GGGGAAUUUAAAGGAUUCAUGUGUAUAUAUGUGAGAUAGAAAGGUUUAGUAAAUACAAUUUGCAUAUUAUAAUGGAUGUUAUCAUGUUGUUAUAUGUUACAAGAUAAAAAAAGAUACAAAUGGCGCUCUGAGAGAGAAGAAGCGGCGCAAGAAACUCAAAAAAACAAUAGUAACCUUACCUCUGGUACCACAUCAAUGGGCUCCACUUGAGCUGUCUUGGAUGAAAUUGGCAGAACAUUGAGAGCAUCAUCAAGAACUAGACACCGAGCAUUGUCCACUAAUGAGAGCAGAAAUCUCUCGUUAAAUCUGUUUACGACUGUGUCAUGUGCUUCAGUUUUGAAUCUGGAAUUAUUUUGUUCGUUCAAAUAAAAACAGUAUUCUGUC